UGAGUUACUACACGCCAAGAUGUGAUACACCAUGUGCUAGCACGUGCUUGGACGGCACAUGCGACGCUACGGGGGGCUGUCCAGAUUGCAAGAGAAGCCCCGUGGGACUGAACUGUCGAGUUCAGCCGGUUUCGUCCUCUACGGAUUCGAACAAUCCUGAUACACAUAACGAUAGCAAGCCAUUACCUGCGGCAGCAGUGGGAGGAUCAGUCGGUGGAUUUG
This is a long non-coding RNA of Dreissena polymorpha, 222 nucleotides long. RefSeq lists it as uncharacterized. NCBI's taxonomy places the organism in Eukaryota, Metazoa, Mollusca, Bivalvia, Myida, Dreissenidae. The record is from RefSeq and is a predicted model, not a curated record. The transcript is spliced from 3 exons.